AUGAACCGCAAGGCCACCCUAAGGGCGGCGGUGGGUCGCCGGACUCGCCGCUCCGGCGACCCUUUGGUCAGCCAAGAGCGGCUACGGUUCAGGGGCGACGGCGCGUGUCGGUCCUCGGUGGCUGGCGACGCGGGGGUUGCCGGAACCCACGACGACCACGACGUGCAGAUGUGGCUGAAACCGGGCACGGGUGAGCGCAGGCCUCUGCGAGCGGGAGAGGGCAGCGCAGGCGCGCGGCUGGGCGAGCCAGCGCGUGUAGGACGCGGCGGCCAGGGGGGAAGUGAGGCGGAGGCCGCGUGGGGCGAAGUGGCUACCGGCGGCAGCAGGAGGCAGCGGCGAGCGGCUGUGGUGGCGCGAGGCACAGCAGCAGUGGGGCGAGGCCGCGGGAGAAGCGCGCUGGUGGGUGCGGUCGACAGGGGAUGGCGACGUACGGCGUCGGGACGGGGGAAGCGGAGCAGUGGGGCGGCGGGAGCGCAGAGCGUGGCCGGGUGGCUAGCCGAGGCGCGGGCGGAGCGCGACGCCAGGCAGCGGAGGAGACAACAACUGCGACAAGAUAAGGGGAUGAGGAAGAGGGCAGUGGCUCACUGCCGUUGCAGGGAAGGCCUGGGGAAGAUGGUGAUGCAGUGGAGGCGGCGGGAUCAACGGCGGCAUCCAGCGGGUCCGAGGAAGAGGAUGACGGAGAUCCGGCGAUGCAGCGUCGCCCGGCUUGCGCUAGUAGAGGACGAAGGCGAAGGCGUCGGUUCUUCCAUGGCGGGGCGGGGCGCGUCGGGCGUGGUCGGCUCCGUUAAAAAGUGUGCGGGCCCGGGCUGUCAGUGGGCGGGGGUUAGGCCCUGGUUAGUGGCUAACCCGGCAGGGCCCACUUGGCAGUGGCCCGCGCAAGGGCUCGCCGGCGAUGGAUAUAGAGGGCGGCGGUGGGUCGCCGGACUCGCCGCUUCAGUGACCCUUUGGUCAGCCGAGAGCGGCUACGGUUCAGGGGCGACGGCGCGCGUCGGUCCGCGGUGGCUGGCGACGCGGGGGUUGCCGGGACCCACGAGGACGACGGCAUGCAGACGUGGCCGAAACCGGGCACGGGCGAGCGCAGGUCUCUACGAGCGGGAGAGGGCGGCGCAGGCGCACGGCUGGGCGAGCCAGCGCGAGGUGGACGCGGCGGCCAGGGGGGAAGUGAGGCGGAGGCCGCGUGGGGCGAAGCGGCUACCGGCGGCAGCAGGAGGCAGCGGCGAGCGGCUGCGGUGGCGCGAGGCACAGCAGCAGUGGGCGAGGCCGCGGGAGAAGCGCGCGGGCGGGUGCGGUCCACAGGGGACGGCGACGUAUGGCGUCGGGACGGGGGAAUUCGAGGGGGAAGCGGAGCAGUGGGGCAGCGGGAGCGCAGAGCGCGGCCGGGUGGCUGGCGCAGGGCUAGCGCGGGCGGAGCGCGACGCUAGGGAGCGGAGGAGACAGCAACUGCGACAAGCUAAGGGGAUGAGGAAGAGGGCAGUGGCUCACUGCCGUUGCAGGGAAGGCCCGGGGAAGAUGGUGAUGCAGUGGAGGCGACGGGAUCAUUGGCGGCAUCCAGCGGGUCCGAGGAAGAGGAUGACGGAGAUCCGGCGAUGCAACGUCGCCCGGCUUGCGCUAGUAGAGGACGAAGGCGAAGGCGUCGGUUCUUCCACGGCGGGGCGGGGCGCGUCGGGCGUGGUCGGCUCCGGCAUCCGAGGCGGAGCCAAGGGUGCAACUGGGUCAGGAAGAGGAAUAAAAGAGGUCCUGCUAGUGGUGGAUGAAGGGGUGACCAUUUCAGUUAACACAGUCCAUCUUGGCAUCAUCGCGACAAGCCUUUUCAGGAACAUGACUAUUUGUAGCGCUCUGAUGAACACUGUUGGAAGAAUCAUAAGCAGGAGCAUCGAACAGGGUGCUGCAACAGCAUGUUAUGUGGCGAUGCACCCUCAAGUCCAAGGGAUAACUGGUAAAUACUUGGGCAAUUGUAACAUAGCAAGCCCAAGCUCGCAAGCUGUAGAUGCAGAGUUGGCCAAGAAGUUGUGGAACUUCAGCUUGCAGAUAAAGUCUUUGACCAACCGUCUCCACCUCUACUUCAACUUCGACGUCGGCAGCACCACUGGGAGUGCCGCAAAGGACCUAGCAGCGCGUGAGCCACCAUGGGCAGUACAGUUUUGUAGCACAGCAGAACUUCUAAGUUCAGUGCCAUUUUCAAGCACUUUCCCGGUACCUUCCAUUCCCGAGUUGUCCUCUUACUUUCCCAAGUGCGCUGAUGUCGAGGCUCCAAUGAGCGCCCCUGGCAUGGACUUAGUGGCACCUUCCUCCGGAACAAUGGUGUAG
This 2307-nucleotide ribosomal RNA is filed under the name Triticum aestivum (bread wheat). RNAcentral's name for it is "partial small subunit ribosomal RNA". The record is from RNAcentral. Lineage: Eukaryota; Viridiplantae; Streptophyta; Magnoliopsida; Poales; Poaceae.